RNAcentral lists this ribosomal RNA (2935 nucleotides) under Serratia marcescens. Its description in RNAcentral is "bacterial LSU rRNA". It matches the Rfam family "Bacterial large subunit ribosomal RNA". The record is from RNAcentral. Lineage: Bacteria; Pseudomonadati; Pseudomonadota; Gammaproteobacteria; Enterobacterales; Yersiniaceae.
GGGUUGUGAGGUUAAGUGACUAAGCGUACACGGUGGAUGCCUAGGCAGUCAGAGGCGAUGAAGGGCGUGCUAAUCUGCGAAAAGCGUCGGUAAGGUGAUAUGAACCGUUAUAACCGGCGAUACCCGAAUGGGGAAACCCAGUGUGUUUCGACACACUAUCAUGUCAUGAAUACAUAGUGGCAUGAGGCGAACCGGGGGAACUGAAACAUCUAAGUACCCCGAGGAAAAGAAAUCAACCGAGAUUCCCCCAGUAGCGGCGAGCGAACGGGGAGGAGCCCAGAACCUGAAUCGGCUUGUGUGUUAGUGGAAGCGUCUGGAAAGUCGCGCAGCAAAGGGUGAUAGCCCCGUACACUAAAAUGCACAGGUCGUGAGUUCGAUGAGUAGGGCGGGACACGUGACAUCCUGUCUGAAUAUGGGGGGACCAUCCUCCAAGGCUAAAUACUCCUGACUGACCGAUAGUGAACCAGUACCGUGAGGGAAAGGCGAAAAGAACCCCGGCGAGGGGAGUGAAAUAGAACCUGAAACCGUGUACGUACAAGCAGUGGGAGCACCUUCGUGGUGUGACUGCGUACCUUUUGUAUAAUGGGUCAGCGACUUAUAUUUUGUAGCAAGGUUAACCGUAUAGGGGAGCCGUAGGGAAACCGAGUCUUAACUGGGCGACUAGUUGCAAGGUAUAGACCCGAAACCCGGUGAUCUAGCCAUGGGCAGGUUGAAGGUUGGGUAACACUAACUGGAGGACCGAACCGACUAAUGUUGAAAAAUUAGCGGAUGACUUGUGGCUGGGGGUGAAAGGCCAAUCAAACCGGGAGAUAGCUGGUUCUCCCCGAAAGCUAUUUAGGUAGCGCCUCGUGAACUCAUCUUCGGGGGUAGAGCACUGUUUCGGCUAGGGGGCCAUCCCGGCUUACCAAACCGAUGCAAACUCCGAAUACCGAAGAAUGUUAUCACGGGAGACACACGGCGGGUGCUAACGUCCGUCGUGAAGAGGGAAACAACCCAGACCGCCAGCUAAGGUCCCAAAGUCAUGGUUAAGUGGGAAACGAUGUGGGAAGGCAUAGACAGCCAGGAUGUUGGCUUAGAAGCAGCCAUCAUUUAAAGAAAGCGUAAUAGCUCACUGGUCGAGUCGGCCUGCGCGGAAGAUGUAACGGGGCUAAACCAUGCACCGAAGCUGCGGCAGCGACGCUUAGGCGUUGUUGGGUAGGGGAGCGUUCUGUAAGCCGUUGAAGGUGGCCUGUGAGGGUUGCUGGAGGUAUCAGAAGUGCGAAUGCUGACAUAAGUAACGAUAAAGCGGGUGAAAAGCCCGCUCGCCGGAAGACCAAGGGUUCCUGUCCAACGUUAAUCGGGGCAGGGUGAGUCGACCCCUAAGGCGAGGCUGAAAAGCGUAGUCGAUGGGAAACAGGUUAAUAUUCCUGUACUUGGUGUUACUGCGAAGGGGGGACGGAGAAGGCUAGGCUAGCCGGGCGACGGUUGUCCCGGUUUAAGCGUGUAGGGGGUGUGACCUGGUAAAUCCGGUUGCAUAUCAACCCUGAGGCGUGAUGACGAUGCACUACGGUGCAGAAGUAGUUGAUGCCCUGCUUCCAGGAAAAUCCUCUAAGCUCCAGGUAACAUUAAAUCGUACCCCAAACCGACACAGGUGGUCAGGUAGAGAAUACCAAGGCGCUUGAGAGAACUCGGGUGAAGGAACUAGGCAAAAUGGUGCCGUAACUUCGGGAGAAGGCACGCUGGCAUGUAGGUGAAGUCCCUCGCGGAUGGAGCUGAAGCCAGUCGAAGAUACCAGCUGGCUGCAACUGUUUAAUAAAAACACAGCACUGUGCAAACACGAAAGUGGACGUAUACGGUGUGACGCCUGCCCGGUGCUGGAAGGUUAAUUGAUGGGGUCAGCCGCAAGGCGAAGCUCUUGAUCGAAGCCCCAGUAAACGGCGGCCGUAACUAUAACGGUCCUAAGGUAGCGAAAUUCCUUGUCGGGUAAGUUCCGACCUGCACGAAUGGCGUAAUGAUGGCCAGGCUGUCUCCACCCGAGACUCAGUGAAAUUGAACUCGCUGUGAAGAUGCAGUGUACCCGCGGCAAGACGGAAAGACCCCGUGAACCUUUACUAUAGCUUGACACUGAACAUUGAGCCUUGAUGUGUAGGAUAGGUGGGAGGCUUUGAAGCGUGGACGCCAGUCUGCGUGGAGCCAUCCUUGAAAUACCACCCUUUAAUGUUUGAUGUUCUAACUCGGCCCCGUGAUCCGGGGUGAGGACAGUGUCUGGUGGGUAGUUUGACUGGGGCGGUCUCCUCCCAAAGAGUAACGGAGGAGCACGAAGGUUAGCUAAUCACGGUCGGACAUCGUGAGGUUAGUGCAAAGGCAUAAGCUAGCUUGACUGCGAGAGUGACGGCUCGAGCAGGUACGAAAGUAGGUCUUAGUGAUCCGGUGGUUCUGAAUGGAAGGGCCAUCGCUCAACGGAUAAAAGGUACUCCGGGGAUAACAGGCUGAUACCGCCCAAGAGUUCAUAUCGACGGCGGUGUUUGGCACCUCGAUGUCGGCUCAUCACAUCCUGGGGCUGAAGUAGGUCCCAAGGGUAUGGCUGUUCGCCAUUUAAAGUGGUACGCGAGCUGGGUUUAGAACGUCGUGAGACAGUUCGGUCCCUAUCUGCCGUGGGCGUUGGAAGAUUGAGAGGGGUUGCUCCUAGUACGAGAGGACCGGAGUGAACGCACCACUGGUGUUCGGGUUGUCAUGCCAAUGGCAUUGCCCGGUAGCUAAGUGCGGAAAAGAUAAGCGCUGAAAGCAUCUAAGCGCGAAACUUGCCUCAAGAUGAGUCUUCCCUGGGCCUUUAAGGCCCCUGAAGGAACGUUUAAGACUAAGACGUUGAUAGGCUGGGUGUGUAAGUGCAGCGAUGCAUUGAGCUAACCAGUACUAAUGAUCCGUGAGGCUUAACCUUACAACACCGAAGGUGUUU